This is a non-coding RNA of Pelobates cultripes (western spadefoot toad), 207 nucleotides long. Lineage: Eukaryota; Metazoa; Chordata; Amphibia; Anura; Pelobatidae. The record is from the annotation of a GenBank genome assembly.
GAGACAUCCCGAUCCCUCUUGUCCUUUCUUGUUAGAGGUGGACGCAUCUGAGACUGGUAUAGGGGCUGUGUUAUCCCAAAGACCCUCGGAUGAUCAACCUUUACAUCCUUGUGGGUAAUAUUGGAAAAAACUGACAGAGACUGAAAAUAGGUAUGACAUAGGAGAUAGAGAACUCUUGGCAAUCAUUUUGACCCUCAAAGAGUGGCG